GGGGAUGUAGCUCAAUGGCAGAGCAUUCGCUUAGCAUGCCUGAGGCCCUGGGUUCAACCCCUAGUACCUCUC
This 72-nucleotide transfer RNA is filed under the name Ictidomys tridecemlineatus (thirteen-lined ground squirrel). RNAcentral's name for it is "Spermophilus tridecemlineatus (thirteen-lined ground squirrel) tRNA". It matches the Rfam family "tRNA". Rfam says of the family: Transfer RNA (tRNA) molecules are approximately 80 nucleotides in length. Their secondary structure includes four short double-helical elements and three loops (D, anti-codon, and T loops). Lineage: Eukaryota; Metazoa; Chordata; Mammalia; Rodentia; Sciuridae. The record is from Rfam by way of RNAcentral.